AGUCGACGAACUCUGGUAUUGAUUGGUGCUUGCAUCAUGAUUUACAUUUGAGUGAGUGGCGAACUGGUGAGUAACACGUGGGAAACCUGCCCAGAAGCGGGGGAUAACACCUGGAAACAGAUGCUAAUACCGCAUAACAACUUGGACCGCAUGGUCCGAGUUUGAAAGAUGGCUUCGGCUAUCACUUUUGGAUGGUCCCGCGGCGUAUUAGCUAGAUGGUGGGGUAACGGCUCACCAUGGCAAUGAUACGUAGCCGACCUGAGAGGGUAAUCGGCCACAUUGGGACUGAGACACGGCCCAAACUCCUACGGGAGGCAGCAGUAGGGAAUCUUCCACAAUGGACGAAAGUCUGAUGGAGCAACGCCGCGUGAGUGAAGAAGGGUUUCGGCUCGUAAAACUCUGUUGUUAAAGAAGAACAUAUCUGAGAGUAACUGUUCAGGUAUUGACGGUAUUUAACCAGAAAGCCACGGCUAACUACGUGCCAGCAGCCGCGGUAAUACGUAGGUGGCAAGCGUUGUCCGGAUUUAUUGGGCGUAAAGCGAGCGCAGGCGGUUUUUUAAGUCUGAUGUGAAAGCCUUCGGCUCAACCGAAGAAGUGCAUCGGAAACUGGGAAACUUGAGUGCAGAAGAGGACAGUGGAACUCCAUGUGUAGCGGUGAAAUGCGUAGAUAUAUGGAAGAACACCAGUGGCGAAGGCGGCUGUCUGGUCUGUAACUGACGCUGAGGCUCGAAAGUAUGGGUAGCAAACAGGAUUAGAUACCCUGGUAGUCCAUACCGUAAACGAUGAAUGCUAAGUGUUGGAGGGUUUCCGCCCUUCAGUGCUGCAGCUAACGCAUUAAGCAUUCCGCCUGGGGAGUACGGCCGCAAGGCUGAAACUCAAAGGAAUUGACGGGGGCCCGCACAAGCGGUGGAGCAUGUGGUUUAAUUCGAAGCUACGCGAAGAACCUUACCAGGUCUUGACAUACUAUGCAAAUCUAAGAGAUUAGACGUUCCCUUCGGGGACAUGGAUACAGGUGGUGCAUGGUUGUCGUCAGCUCGUGUCGUGAGAUGUUGGGUUAAGUCCCGCAACGAGCGCAACCCUUAUUAUCAGUUGCCAGCAUUAAGUUGGGCACUCUGGUGAGACUGCCGGUGACAAACCGGAGGAAGGUGGGGAUGACGUCAAAUCAUCAUGCCCCUUAUGACCUGGGCUACACACGUGCUACAAUGGAUGGUACAACGAGUUGCGAACUCGCGAGAGUAAGCUAAUCUCUUAAAGCCAUUCUCAGUUCGGAUUGUAGGCUGCAACUCGCCUACA
This 1293-nucleotide ribosomal RNA is filed under the name Lactiplantibacillus plantarum. RNAcentral's name for it is "bacterial SSU rRNA". It matches the Rfam family "Bacterial small subunit ribosomal RNA", at positions 60 to 1320 of the family's 1533-position model. Lineage: Bacteria; Bacillati; Bacillota; Bacilli; Lactobacillales; Lactobacillaceae. The record is from RNAcentral.